AAUUCCAUCUAAGGCUAAAUAUUGGCGAGAGACCGAUAGCGAACAAGUACAGUGAUGGAAAGAUGAAAAGCACUUUGAAAAGAGAGUGAAAAAGUNCGUGAAAUUGUUGAAAGGGAAGGGNAUGAGAUCAGACUUGGCUGUCCGGCGAUCAACUCUNCNCAGCGGGGNNNNCACUUGCCGGNAGCUGGGCCAGCAUCAGUUUUGGCGGCAGCACAAUCGCACGGGNACGUGGCUCGGGCCNCUGGGUCUGAGUGUUAUAGCCCGUUGUGGAUACUGCNAGCCGGGACUGAGGACUGCGGUGUAUACCAAGGAUGCUGGNGNAAUGA
Molecule: ribosomal RNA, 326 nt
Filed under: Alloascoidea africana
Lineage: Eukaryota; Fungi; Ascomycota; Alloascoideomycetes; Alloascoideales; Alloascoideaceae
Description: partial 25S ribosomal RNA
Rfam family: Eukaryotic large subunit ribosomal RNA
Source: RNAcentral